UCAGGAUGAACGCUGGCGGCAGGCUUAAUACAUGCAAGUUGAGCGGUAACAUGUGUAGCAAUACGAUGAUGACGAGUGGCGCACGGGUGCGUAACACGUGUGUAACCUACCUUAUACAGGAACAUAACGUUGAGAAAUCGGCGCUAACAUUCCAUAAUAGUUAUUUGUAGGCAUCUAUGAAUAAUUAAAACUCCGGUGGUAUAAGAUGGGCACGCGUUCCAUUAGCUAGUUGGUAAGGUAACGGCUUACCAAGGCAACGAUGGAUAGGGGUUCUGAGAGGAUAAUCCCCCACACUGGAACUGAGACACGGUCCAGACUCCUACGGGAGGCAGCAGUAAGGAAUAUUGGGCAAUGGAGGCAACUCUGACCCAGCCAUGCCGCGUGCAGGAAGACGGCCCUAUGGGUUGUAAACUGCUUUUAAUAGGGAUUAAAGUCGACUACGUGUAGUUGUUUGCAAGUACCUAUAGAAUAAGCAUCGGCUAACUCCGUGCCAGCCGCUGC
This 501-nucleotide ribosomal RNA is filed under the name uncultured bacterium. Its description in RNAcentral is "bacterial SSU rRNA". It matches the Rfam family "Bacterial small subunit ribosomal RNA", at positions 24 to 518 of the family's 1533-position model. The record is from RNAcentral.